This 334-nucleotide RNase P RNA is filed under the name bovine gut metagenome. RNAcentral describes it as "Bacterial RNase P class A". It matches the Rfam family "Bacterial RNase P class A". Rfam says of the family: Ribonuclease P (RNase P) is a ubiquitous endoribonuclease, found in archaea, bacteria and eukarya as well as chloroplasts and mitochondria. Its best characterised activity is the generation of mature 5'-ends of tRNAs by cleaving the 5'-leader elements of precursor-tRNAs. Cellular RNase Ps are ribonucleoproteins. The record is from RNAcentral.
GAGUUGGCCGGACAGCCGCCGCCUGCAAGGGGGAGGAAAGUCCGGGCUCCGCAGAGCAGGGUGCCAGGUAACGCCUGGGAGACGUGAGUCUACGACCAGUGCAACAGAAAGUAUACCGCCGCAAGGUAAGGGUGAAAUGGUGAGGUAAGAGCUCACCGCACAGCUAGUAAUAGUCUGUGGCAGGGUAAACUCCACCCGGAGCAAGAUCAAAUAGGUUUCCGCAAAUGUUGCUCGCAUUGGAAACGGGUAGAUCGCUUGAGUCUGCAAGUGAUUGCAGAACUAGAUGAAUGGCUGUCGCCGCAAGGACACAGAACCCGGCUUAUAGGCUGACUCA